AUGACAGAGAUGAUGGUGAUUUCGCUGUUUAUGAAGGAAUCGAAGAGAGGCUUGCGCGGAGGAGAUUUUGGAGGUCGCGGCGAGUUGCGGUCGAGAAGAGGUGUGGCUCGGUUACAGAUGGUGUUUCUGGCGAAGAUGAAGGUUUUUCGGCGAGGAAGGGUUCUCCGGUCAAACUUGACGAAGGAGGAAGCCGUAGUAAAGCUUGAAGGCAUGGCAAAGUUGCUGCCAUCUUGA
This 234-nucleotide long non-coding RNA is filed under the name Vicia faba (fava bean). Lineage: Eukaryota; Viridiplantae; Streptophyta; Magnoliopsida; Fabales; Fabaceae. The record is from RNAcentral.